RNAcentral lists this ribosomal RNA (459 nucleotides) under uncultured bacterium. RNAcentral describes it as "partial 16S ribosomal RNA". It matches the Rfam family "Bacterial small subunit ribosomal RNA", at positions 338 to 795 of the family's 1533-position model. The record is from RNAcentral.
CCUACGGGUGGCAGCAGUGAGGAAUAUUGGUCAAUGGUCGGGAGCCUGAACCAGCCAAGCCGCGUGAGGGAUGACGGUCCAGAGUAUCGUAAACCUCUUUUGUCAGGGAGCAACGGCGGGGACGUGUCCCCUCCUGAGUGUCCCUGACGAAAAACCAUCGGCUAACUCCGUGCCAGCAGCCGCGGUAAUCCGGAGGUUGCGGGCGUUAUCCGGUUUUAUUGGUUUUAAAGGGUGCGCAGGCGGUCUUUUAAGUCAGUGGUAAAAGCCCGGGGCUCAACCCCGGCCCGCCGUUGAAACUGGUAGUCUUGAGUGGGAGAGAAGUAUGCGGAAUGCGUGGUGUAGCGGUGAAAUGCAUAGAUAUCGCGCAGAACUCCGAUUGCGAAGGCAGCAUGCCGGCGCCAAACUGACGCUGAGGCACGAAAGCGUGGGUAUCGAACAGGAUUAGAUACCCUAGUAGUC